Non-coding RNA from Caenorhabditis elegans, 290 nucleotides. The record is from Ensembl. NCBI's taxonomy places the organism in Eukaryota, Metazoa, Nematoda, Chromadorea, Rhabditida, Rhabditidae.
AGGUUCCAUUACGAAAUCCGUACUCCCAGAACGGACCACUCUCAUACGCCACCAUGAUACAGAAUCCACGAAGUUUCGGUUUUGAAGAGAACGAGAAAAGAGCAGUUUGAGGACGUUUCGUUUCGUUUAACAACUUAUUUGAUCGUUUGCUUCCCAGGAAUCCCUGACGGCAGAGCUCGAUUUCAGGCAAAAAUCCGAGAAAUGAAAUAGAGUCGAUCAGUGUUACAUGGCUUCCUAUUUUUUGUUUCUUGAAUAGCUGCAAAUUUGAAAUAAAUACUUGAAUUUCAAAA